This 475-nucleotide ribosomal RNA is filed under the name uncultured bacterium. RNAcentral describes it as "bacterial SSU rRNA". It matches the Rfam family "Bacterial small subunit ribosomal RNA", at positions 335 to 802 of the family's 1533-position model. The record is from RNAcentral.
ACUCCUACGGGAGGCAGCAGUGGGGAAUAUUGCACAAUGGGCGCAAGCCUGAUGCAGCCAUGCCGCGUGUAUGAAGAAGGCCUUCGGGUUGUAAAGUACUUUCAGUCGUGAGGAAGGCGGCGUCGUUAAUAGCGGCGUUGUUUGACGUUAGCGACAGAAGAAGCACCGGCUAACUCCGUGCCAGCAGCCGCGGUAAUACGGAGGGUGCGAGCGUUAAUCGGAAUUACUGGGCGUAAAGCGCAUGCAGGUGGUUUGUUAAGUCAGAUGUGAAAGCCCGGGGGCUCAACCUCGGAAUUGCAUUUGAAACUGGCAGGCUAGAGUCUGUAGAGGGGGUAGAAGUUUCAGGUGUAGCGGUGAAAUGCGUAGAGAUCUGAAGGAAUACCAGUGGCGAAGGCGGCCCCCUGGACAAAGACUGACGCUCAGAUGCGAAAGCGUAGGGGAGCGAAACAGGAUUAGAUACCCUGGUAGACUGUCA